Molecule: ribosomal RNA, 594 nt
Filed under: Pseudomonas aeruginosa
Lineage: Bacteria; Pseudomonadati; Pseudomonadota; Gammaproteobacteria; Pseudomonadales; Pseudomonadaceae
Description: partial 23S ribosomal RNA
Rfam family: Bacterial large subunit ribosomal RNA
Source: RNAcentral
GGUUAAGCGACUAAGCGUACACGGUGGAUGCCCUGGCAGUCAGAGGCGAUGAAGGACGUGCUAAUCUGCGAAAAGCGUCGGUAAGGUGAUAUGAACCGUUAUAACCGGCGAUGUCCGAAUGGGGAAACCCAGUGUGAUUCGUCACACUAUCGUUAACUGAAUACAUAGGUUAACGAGGCGAACCGGGGGAACUGAAACAUCUAAGUACCCCGAGGAAAAGAAAUCAACCGAGAUUCCCACAGUAGCGGCGAGCGAACGGGGAGCAGCCCAGAGUCUGAAUCAGCUUGUGUGUUAGUGGAACGGUCUGGAAAGUCCGACGGUACAGGGUGAUAGUCCCGUACACCAAAAUGCACAGGCUGUGAACUCGAAGAGUAGGGCGGGACACGUGGUAUCCUGUCUGAAUAUGGGGGGACCAUCCUCCAAGGCUAAAUACUCCUGACUGACCGAUAGUGAACCAGUACCGUGAGGGAAAGGCGAAAAGAACCCCGGCGAGGGGAGUGAAAAAGAACCUGAAACCGUGUACGUACAAGCAGUGGGAGCACCUUCGGGUGUGACUGCGUACCUUUUGUAUAAUGGGUCAGCGACUUAUAUUCU